Molecule: ribosomal RNA, 451 nt
Filed under: uncultured Fibrobacter sp.
Lineage: Bacteria; Pseudomonadati; Fibrobacterota; Fibrobacteria; Fibrobacterales; Fibrobacteraceae
Description: bacterial SSU rRNA
Rfam family: Bacterial small subunit ribosomal RNA
Source: RNAcentral
ACGGGAGGCAGCAGUAGGGAAUAUUGCACAAUGGGGGGAACCCUGAUGCAGCAACGCCACGUGUGGGAAGAAGCAUUUCGGUGUGUAAACCACUGUCGUGAGGGAAUAAUGCUUGAUUUCGGUCAAGUUGAAUGUACCUCGAAAGGAAGCACCGGCAAACUUCGUGCCAGCAGCCGUGGUAAUACGAGGGGUGCAAGCGUUGUUCGGAAUCGCUGGGCGUAAAGGGGGCGUAGGCGGAGACGCAAGCAGUCUGUACAAUACCGGGGCCCAACCCCGGACCUGCAGACUGGACUGUGUCUCUUGGAUAGUUCAGGGGCAGGCGGAAUUCCUGGUGUAGCGGUGGAAUGCGUAGAGAUCAGGAAGAACACCGAUGGCGAAGGCAGCCAGCUGGGGACUUAUCGACGCUGAGGCUCGAAAGUGCGGGUAGCAAACAGGAUUAGAUACCCUGGUA